GUCUGAUUGUAUUUCCAUGAAGAAAUGACCUCAGUAGAUCAUGGUGUAGUUCCAUUUCAUAACAAAACCUCAUUGGAAAAUUAGCUGAUUUAACUUUACUGUGCUCUUGUUCAAAUAUAUUACAUAUAUCCAUACCUGUUAACAAAAUAAUGAUUUUACUGAUAAUUCGGCUCAAUAAAAACACCUUUACCUUUUCAUUUUACUACAGUAGAAGUUUAUUGGCCCAGCUUAUAGACUACAGAAGUGGAGAAACGCCCCCACUUAAGUUUAUGUUUUCUUAGGAGUUAGAACAACUCUGAAUAUAGUACUAUGUCUGUGACCCUAUAUGUCCUGUUGAUGAAGUUAGGUGCUGUUCUGAGCAUUAUUUGUGGCUAUAGAGUGGCGUUUUGGUUGAGGGCGUGGCUCUCUGUAUUUCUAUCCUGCGGUCGUUACUAAAGUUGGUAUAACUAGGGAAGAAAGCGGUCGGCAACAUUCAUCUCUGGAGGGGGGGUCUAACUCGAUGUUACGCUGUGUUUCACCCUAAAUUAAUUUU
This is a non-coding RNA of Xyrichtys novacula (pearly razorfish), 532 nucleotides long. The record is from the annotation of a GenBank genome assembly. NCBI's taxonomy places the organism in Eukaryota, Metazoa, Chordata, Actinopteri, Labriformes, Labridae.